RNAcentral lists this non-coding RNA (699 nucleotides) under Phaseolus vulgaris (common bean). RNAcentral's name for it is "Eukaryotic large subunit ribosomal RNA". It matches the Rfam family "Eukaryotic large subunit ribosomal RNA", at positions 2481 to 3167 of the family's 3401-position model. Lineage: Eukaryota; Viridiplantae; Streptophyta; Magnoliopsida; Fabales; Fabaceae. The record is from Rfam by way of RNAcentral.
AACCAUAAGUGAAAUACCACUACUUUUAACGUUAUUUUUACUUAUUCCGUGAAUUGGAGGCAUGGUGUUGUCCCUCUUUUUGGACCCAAGGCUGGUUUUGGCCGGUCCAUCUAGGUGGAAGACAUUAUCAACUGGUGAGUUUGGCUGGGGUGGCACAUUUGUUGAAAGAUAACACAAGUGUCCUAAGAUGAGUUCAACGAGAACAAAAAUCUUUUGUAGAACAAAAGAGUAAAAGCUCCUUUGAUUUUAAUUUUCAAUAUGAAUACGAACCUUUUGAUUCUUUUAAGUCUAAACUAUUAGGACCCCUUAGAGGUUCUAACCAAGGAACACACAAAUCCCAAAAAAACAUAGUUUUUUUGCCAAAAAUAACUUCGCCAGUCGGGGAAUGCAUUAGAUAUUUACCUUAACCUGUAGGUCCUUGAGUAGAUCCUAUAUUAGCCCAGAGUUCACCAACGGUUGGAUUGUUUACCCACCACUUUAGAACGUGGUCUGAGUUUAAACCGUCAUGAAAUAGGUUAGUUUUACCUAUUGAUGACAGUGUCACAAUAGUAAUUCAACCUAGUACGAGAGGAAUUGUUGAUUCGCACAAUUGGUCAUCGCGCUUAGUUGUAAAGUCAGUAACGCGAAGUUACCUUGUGUUGGAUUAUGUUUGAACAUUGUCUCCAAGUCAGAAUCCAGACUAUAAACAAUGUGUGUGCC